Molecule: small nuclear RNA, 104 nt
Organism: Myodes glareolus (Bank vole)
Lineage: Eukaryota; Metazoa; Chordata; Mammalia; Rodentia; Cricetidae
Source: RefSeq, a predicted model, not a curated record
GUGCUCGCUUCAGCAGCACAGAUAGUAAAAUUGGAAUGAUACAAAGAUUAGUGUGUCUCCUGUGCAAGGAUGACACACAGAUUUGUGAAGGUUACAAUAAAAUU